Molecule: non-coding RNA, 220 nt
Organism: Pelobates cultripes (western spadefoot toad)
Lineage: Eukaryota; Metazoa; Chordata; Amphibia; Anura; Pelobatidae
Source: the annotation of a GenBank genome assembly
CUCAGAGUUCUGGGGUUUUUUCUACACUGAUCUGGCCUCUAUGGCAGACUGGCCAGACGCAAAUCUCUCCUUACUGCAAGAGACAUGAAAGGCCACCUGCAACUUGAAGAAAAAAGAAAAGUCUCAUUUAAAGGUCUUUUAGACUGUGAGAAACAAGAUUCUCUUGUAUAAUAAAAAGAGCUUUAAACAGUUUGGCCUUUCUUUAAAGAGUCAUGUAUGG